GACGAACCGUGCGAACGUUGUUCGGAUUCACUGGGCUUAAAGGGCGCGUAGGCGGCUUGCCCAGUCGGGGGUGAAAUCUUUCGGCUCAACCGGAAAACAGCCCCCGAUACUGGCAGGCUGGAGGGAGGCAGGGGCAUGCGGAACUUCCGGUGGAGCGGUGAAAUGCGUAGAUAUCGGAAGGAACGCCGGUGGCGAAAGCGGCGUGCUGGACCUCACCUGACGCUGAGGCGCGAAAGCCAGGGGAGCAAACGGG
RNAcentral lists this ribosomal RNA (253 nucleotides) under uncultured bacterium. Its description in RNAcentral is "partial 16S ribosomal RNA". It matches the Rfam family "Bacterial small subunit ribosomal RNA", at positions 524 to 776 of the family's 1533-position model. The record is from RNAcentral.